UUUCUUGGAACAAACAUAACUAAUCAAAACACGCAGUCGCAACACGUGGAAUAAGGUCGAUAAACAAAAAGUUAGAAAGCUGUGGGAACACCGAACCCGUUGCUUUGCCGCCGAAUAGAGUUGGAGAAAGGCUUACUUCUCUAGGGAAUAUCUCAUGUGGUGAAAGAAGCAGCCCCUUAGGAUGGUAACCCGGGGGUAUUUCGCCCCAAGGGGUUGCUCAGGGCGGGUGGAGAUAUCGGGGUCGCGGCAGCACAAGUUACUCUCGUAGGCCUGUCCUAAUUAGGGUUUAGUAAAUCAUUUCUUGGUAGUUACACACUUACCAUAUUGUGGUUUUUAGGGUUCCGUACGACAUAGGAAAAAAAAGGAACCCUUAUAGGAUCACUUUGUUGUCAGUACGUCUGUCUGUAAAGACCCUUUUUCCCAAAGACACGUGAAGGGAUCAAGCUGGAAUUUUUUUACUACUGAAACAGUUGUCCAAAACAGUGUAAAUCAACGGCGAAAGAUACAUAUUUUAUUUCAAGGGUACUUUGCUGUCUACAACUGCAAGAAAAAUGAUUUGAAAUGCAGUUAGUACUUCGAAAACAGGUGAUUUGGGGUCGCAGGUUACUUUAAAAUUUAAAAGUAAUCAAUUUCAUAAAUUCCUUUGAUAUCAAGUUUGUAUGUAAUAUUGUUACAUAUCUCUAUUUUUUUAAUGAGACUGAAGUCAGUGGUAACUAUCGACCUCAGAAAAUACUGAAUAAUUUUGUUUCGUAUCACAAAAAAAUAUCAGAUCAUAUUUGUAACCUUUUUAGACUGACUAUUCAUUUACUAAAUGUAUUCAAUUACAUAAACACAGGGUUUUUAAUCAUCACAAUUUUAUGUAUAGAUAAAUGAAAUACCAAUUAAGAAUUCUACAUCCAUUAUAAUUCAACGGCAUCAAGAUAUCCUUAAUAAUUAAACACUUCACGAUUGUGUUAUUCGAGUUUUGUUUUAUACAAAAAAAAGGAACUUGGCGAUAGAAGACAUACAAUUAAUUAAGCAUCUCAGUAAACCAGUCUCAAUGUAUGAAAAUCAAAAGUUGAAACAUUAAAUGAUUUUCUUACAAUUUUCUGAGGAUUCGAUUGAAUAUAUAAAAAAAAAUCAGUCUAAACAUAGGACUUGUGUUUCGUUCGACGCAGCCAACAUACAAAUAAACUUAAAAACUAAACGUAUAAAGGAACAUAAAUUUAGAACUUACACAACAGUGGGUAUUGUACCAAUAAGUCAUUUUCAUGACGAAACAUCUGUACAUGAAUAUAUUGCGAUUAGCAAUCAUUCUCUUUGGGAAAUUGGGAUAGCUAUAUAUUUUUGUACAGGCGCUUCGUUAUUUCAAAUUCACGGAAAAUAAAUACAAAAAAAUUGAAAAAUAAUUAUAAAAUAAAAUGUAUCCAAAAAAAAUAAAUCAGACUUAUUUCUCUUGUUCCGUACCGAAUAUAACCUUGAAGCUUGUAAUAUGUAAUAACUAUUUAUAUGUAUGUCAAUCGGAAAAACACAAAGUGUUCAAAUCAAGAAAUUCUUGUAUAUAACCUAUAAAUUUGAAAUGUUCUUAAACAAAAUAUAGGUUUCAAAGACUAUUGUUUUGUUUCGAUACAGACAGAAUGAAUAUAAUUUAAAAAAUAACAUUUUACUCCCUAAGCAAUGAGAUUCUACUUAUUUUAACCUGAUCUUUACUACCGUAAGCCCGUACAGAAACAUACCUCAGUUUUUUACGAAGAAUAAGAAACAAUGUACGAGAGAUACGGGUUAUGGAAACCGUUGCAGUGUCAUAUCAGAUCACAACUAUACCAAUCAAAAUAAUCCAACCACCUCAACCUUUAGUAGGGAUGCACGAUAUUUUUUUUUUAGUCGAUUCCAUAAACCAAUACGAUUUCUCAACACGUAUUUAAGCCGAAAUUAAUAAACGAGCCUAUUAAAUUAAUAUUUCCAGAUAAAAGCUAAUUAAUUAGCAUUUGUUGUUAAUUGCAUUUUGGCACUAAAAUAUCAUUCUUCUCUAUUUAUAUUUUAAUGUUUAGUUUUACAAAAUCAUACAAAAAUCGAUUUUAUUACUAUCGAAUUGUAGGAUACGAGACGACAAAUAUCGUGCAUUCCUACUGAGAUUUAAGCAACAAAAAAAAACACAGCCAUGUACAGUAAACUGCAGUCUUCAAACAAUAUCACACUUCGAAGCCCUGAGAAACGUCGAACGAAACCCCAAGCCUUUUGGCAGUUGAAAAACAUUUAAGGAAAUCCAGUAAAUAUAUAAA
Papilio xuthus (Asian swallowtail) is the source of this 2261-nucleotide long non-coding RNA. RefSeq lists it as uncharacterized. The record is from RefSeq and is a predicted model, not a curated record. Lineage: Eukaryota; Metazoa; Arthropoda; Insecta; Lepidoptera; Papilionidae. The transcript has 3 exons.